RNAcentral lists this ribosomal RNA (861 nucleotides) under Bacillus sp. (in: firmicutes). Its description in RNAcentral is "bacterial SSU rRNA". The record is from RNAcentral. Lineage: Bacteria; Bacillati; Bacillota; Bacilli; Caryophanales; Bacillaceae.
UUAGCGGCGGACGGGUGAGUAACACGUGGGCAACCUGCCKGUAARACKGGGAUAACUCCGGGAAACCGGGGCUAAUACCGGAUAAUAUCUWUUUAUACAUAUAAUUAGAUUGAAAGAUGGUUCUGCUAUCACUUACAGAUGGGCCCGCGGCGCAUUAGCUAGUUGGUGAGGUAACGGCUCACCAAGGCGACGAUGCGUAGCCGACCUGAGAGGGUGAUCGGCCACACUGGGACUGARACACGGCCCAGACUCCUACGGGAGGCAGCAGUAGGGAAUCUUCCGCAAUGGACGAAAGUCUGACGGASCAACGCCGCGUGAGUGAUGAAGGUUUUCGRAUCGUAAAACUCUGUUGUUAGGGAAGAACAAGUACCGGAGUAACUGCCGGUACCUUGACGGUACCUAACCAGAAAGCCACGGCUAACUACGUGCCAGCAGCCGCGGUAAUACGUAGGUGGCAAGCGUUGUCCGGAAUUAUUGGGCGUAAAGCGCGCGCAGGCGGUUCYUUAAGUCUGAUGUGAAAGCCCACGGCUCAACCGUGGAGGGUCAUUGGAAACUGGGGAACUUGAGUGCAGAAGAGGAAAGUGGAAUUCCAAGUGUAGCGGUGAAAUGCGUAGAGAUUUGGAGGAACACCAGUGGCGAAGGCGACUUUCUGGUCUGUAACUGACGCUGAGGCGCGAAAGCGUGGGGAGCAAACAGGAUUAGAUACCCUGGUAGUCCACGCCGUAAACGAUGAGUGCUAAGUGUUAGAGGGUUUCCGCCCUUUAGUGCUGCAGCAAACGCAUUAAGCACUCCGCCUGGGGAGUACGACCGCAAGGUUGAAACUCAAAGGAAUUGACGGGGGCCCGCACAAGCGGUGGAGCA